UUUAAGCCCCUCCUCCCCCUUGUGGGGAGGGGUUGGGGAGGGGCCUCGCUCAGGA
RNAcentral lists this small RNA (55 nucleotides) under Sinorhizobium meliloti 2011. Its description in RNAcentral is "putative ncRNA". The record is from RNAcentral. Lineage: Bacteria; Pseudomonadati; Pseudomonadota; Alphaproteobacteria; Hyphomicrobiales; Rhizobiaceae.